This 30-nucleotide transfer RNA is filed under the name Osteolaemus tetraspis (dwarf crocodile). RNAcentral's name for it is "partial tRNA-Pro". The record is from RNAcentral. Lineage: Eukaryota; Metazoa; Chordata; Crocodylia; Crocodylidae.
GGAGUAGAGUUAUGUCUGCCUUCUUGAAUA